Molecule: ribosomal RNA, 253 nt
Filed under: uncultured bacterium
Lineage: Bacteria
Description: partial 16S ribosomal RNA
Rfam family: Bacterial small subunit ribosomal RNA
Source: RNAcentral
UACGUAGGGUGCAGGCGUUAAUCGGAAUUACUGGGCGUAAAGCGUGCGCAGGCGGUUUCUUAAGUCAGAUGUGAAAGUCCCGGGCUUAACCUGGGGAUUGCGCCUGAUACUGUCAGACUAGAGUACUGUAGAGGAAAGUGGAAUUUCCGGUGUAGCGGUGAAAUGCGUAGAUAUCGGAAGGAACACCAGUGGCGAAGGCGACUUUCUGGACAGAUACUGACACUGAGGCACGAAAGCAUGGGGAGCAAACAGG